AUGAGAAGAGCCUGUCAUUUAGCCAAGAUGAUUGCCUGAAGCCAGAAAAAGGUUCUGAGCAUAUGCAGCCUAAAUUUGAAACAUCUUUCAAGGGCUAACGAGCAAGUCAUCCUUGGCUAGAAAACAGCACUCUUAUCU
Molecule: non-coding RNA, 138 nt
Organism: Populus trichocarpa (black cottonwood)
Lineage: Eukaryota; Viridiplantae; Streptophyta; Magnoliopsida; Malpighiales; Salicaceae
Source: Rfam